UAUCACCUUCGUCCCACACACUUUCA
Molecule: non-coding RNA, 26 nt
Filed under: Mus musculus (house mouse)
Lineage: Eukaryota; Metazoa; Chordata; Mammalia; Rodentia; Muridae
Source: RNAcentral